RNAcentral lists this ribosomal RNA (343 nucleotides) under uncultured bacterium. RNAcentral's name for it is "bacterial SSU rRNA". It matches the Rfam family "Bacterial small subunit ribosomal RNA", at positions 29 to 359 of the family's 1533-position model. The record is from RNAcentral.
AAUCAACGCUGGCGGCGUGCCUAACACAUGCAAGUCGAGCGCGAAUUGGGGGGCAACUCCCAUAGUAGAGCGGCAAACGGGUGAGUAACGCGUGGGUGAUCUACCUUCGAGUGGGGAACAACAUCGGGAAACUGGUGCUAAUACCGCAUGACAUCCUCGGAUCAAAUCUGGGGAUCAAAGCUGGGGACCGCAAGGCCUGGCGCUUGAAGACGAGCCCGCGCCGAUUAGCUAGUUGGCGGGGUAAUGGCCCACCAAGGCUUCGAUCGGUAGCCGGCCUGAGAGGGCGGACGGCCACACUGGGACUGAGACACGGCCCAGACUCCUACGGGAGGCAGCAGUGGGG